Molecule: non-coding RNA, 31 nt
Filed under: Rattus norvegicus (Norway rat)
Lineage: Eukaryota; Metazoa; Chordata; Mammalia; Rodentia; Muridae
Source: RNAcentral
UACCAAACUUUUGAAACACAAAAAACAACAA